Molecule: ribosomal RNA, 484 nt
Filed under: uncultured bacterium
Lineage: Bacteria
Description: partial 16S ribosomal RNA
Rfam family: Bacterial small subunit ribosomal RNA
Source: RNAcentral
AUUGAACGCUGGCGGCAGGCCUAACACAUGCCAGUCGAGCGGAUGAAGGGAGCUUGCUCCUGGAUUCAGCGGCGGACGGGUGAGUAAUGCCUAGGAAUCUGCCUGGUAGUGGGGGAUAACGUCCGGAAACGGGCGCUAAUACCGCAUACGUCCUGAGGGGGAAAGUGGGGGAUCUUCGGACCUCACGCUAUCAGAUGAGCCUAGGUCGGAUUAGCUAGUUGGUGGGGUAAAGGCCUACCAAGGCGACGAUCCGUAACUGGUCUGAGAGGAUGAUCAGUCACACUGGAACUGAGACACGGUCCAGACUCCUACGGGAGGCAGCAGUGGGGAAUAUUGGACAAUGGGCGAAAGCCUGAUCCAGCCAUGCCGCGUGUGUGAAGAAGGUCUUCGGAUUGUAAAGCACUUUAAGUUGGGAGGAAGGGCAGUAAGUUAAUACCUUGCUGUUUUGACGGUACCAACAGAAUAAGCACCGGCUAACUUCGUG